RNAcentral lists this ribosomal RNA (273 nucleotides) under uncultured bacterium. RNAcentral describes it as "partial 16S ribosomal RNA". It matches the Rfam family "Bacterial small subunit ribosomal RNA", at positions 524 to 796 of the family's 1533-position model. The record is from RNAcentral.
UACGUAGGGGGCGAGCGUUGUCCGGAAUUAUUGGGCGUAAAGAGCGUGUAGGCGGUUCGGUAAGUCUGCCGUGAAAACCCAGGGCUCAACCCUGGGCGUGCGGUGGAUACUGCCGGGCUAGAGGGUGGUAGAGGCGAGUGGAAUUCCCGGUGUAGCGGUGAAAUGCGCAGAUAUCGGGAGGAACACCAGUAGCGAAGGCGGCUCGCUGGGCCACACCUGACGCUGAGACGCGAAAGCGUGGGGAGCAAACAGGAUUAGAUACCCCGGUAGUCC